This 29-nucleotide non-coding RNA is filed under the name Rattus norvegicus (Norway rat). Lineage: Eukaryota; Metazoa; Chordata; Mammalia; Rodentia; Muridae. The record is from RNAcentral.
UGGAUGAACACAAGGUCUUAGUCCUAAGA